This 371-nucleotide ribosomal RNA is filed under the name uncultured Deinococcota bacterium. Its description in RNAcentral is "bacterial SSU rRNA". It matches the Rfam family "Bacterial small subunit ribosomal RNA", at positions 521 to 896 of the family's 1533-position model. Lineage: Bacteria; Thermotogati; Deinococcota. The record is from RNAcentral.
UAACACGGAGGGUGCGAGCGUUACCCGGAUUUACUGGGCGUAAAGGGCGUGUAGGCGGCCCGUUAAGUCCGGUGUCAAAGCCCACGGCUCAACCGUGGAAAGGCGCCGGAUACUGGCGGGCUAGACGGACGGAGGGGGUAGCGGAAUUCCCGGAGUAGCGGUGAAAUGCGUAGAUACCGGGAGGAACGCCGAUAGCGAAGGCAGCUACCUGGACGUCCCGUGACGCUGAGGCGCGAAAGCGUGGGGAGCAAACCGGAUUAGAUACCCGGGUAGCCCACGCCCUAAACGAUGAGUGCUGGGUGUCGGGCUUUGGCUCGGCGCCGUAGCUAACGCGUUAAGCACUCCGCCUGGGGAGUACGGCCGCAAGGCUG